RNAcentral lists this ribosomal RNA (478 nucleotides) under uncultured bacterium. RNAcentral's name for it is "partial 16S ribosomal RNA". It matches the Rfam family "Bacterial small subunit ribosomal RNA", at positions 28 to 507 of the family's 1533-position model. The record is from RNAcentral.
GAUGAACGCUGGCGGCGUGCUUAACACAUGCAAGUCGAACGAGAAGUGAAGACGGAAACCUUCGGGCGGAAGGCUUUAUUUCGAGUGGCGGACGGGUGAGUAACGCGUGGGUAACCUGCCUCAUACAGGGGGAUAACAGUUGGAAACGACUGUUAAUACCGCAUAAGACCACAGCACCGCAUGGUGCGGGGGUAAAAACUCCGGUGGUAUGAGAUGGACCCGCGUUCGAUUAGCCAGUUGGCGGGGUAACGGCCCACCAAAGCGACGAUCGAUAGCCGAUCUGAGAGGAUGACCGGCCACAUUGGGACUGAGACACGGCCAAAACUCCUACGGGAGGCAGCAGUGGGGAAUAUUGCACAAUGGGGGAAACCCUGAUGCAGCGACGCCGCGUGAGUGAAGAAGUAUUUCGGUAUGUAAAGCUCUAUCAGCAGGGAAGAAAAUGACGGUACCUGAGUAAGAAGCCCCGGCUAACUACGUG